RNAcentral lists this ribosomal RNA (100 nucleotides) under uncultured bacterium. RNAcentral describes it as "partial 16S ribosomal RNA". It matches the Rfam family "Bacterial small subunit ribosomal RNA", at positions 1382 to 1482 of the family's 1533-position model. The record is from RNAcentral.
CGUACACACCGCCCGUCACACCAUGAAAGCCGUUUGUACCAGAAGUCGCUGUGCUAACGUAAGAGGCAGGCGACCCAAGGUAUGGAGGGUGAUUGGGGUG